Molecule: RNA transcript, 2369 nt
Organism: Thalassophryne amazonica
Lineage: Eukaryota; Metazoa; Chordata; Actinopteri; Batrachoidiformes; Batrachoididae
Gene: nptnb
Gene name: neuroplastin b
Exons: 10
Source: RefSeq, a predicted model, not a curated record
GUUUUAAAGAGCGAUGCACGGCCCCCUGUGUAGAUCUUUGUGCUCACGAUCUCUCCAACCACCGUUCGUCCGAGUGAGACCUCCGGUCCUCUGCUCGAGUCCCGGCGAUGCGUCUUUACGCGGCGAUGCUGGCGGCGCUCCUUUUGGGGAACUUGAUGUUGCUUUCGUCUCGGCUCAAAACGCUGGGUUUGUGAAGUCACCAAUGUCUGAGACUAAGCUUACGGGGGACACCUUUGAGCUGUACUGCGACGUGAUUGGUAACCCCACUCCAGAGAUCCAGUGGUGGUAUGCGGAGAUCAACCGAGCCGACUCCUUCAAGCAGCUGUGGGACGGAGCCCGCAAGCGGCGGGUAUCCAUCAACACGGCCUACGGCACCAAUGGGGUCAGUGUGCUCGGCAUCACACGCCUCACACUGGAGGACUCCGGGACCUAUGAGUGCCGGGCCAGCAACGAUCCCAGGCGCAAUGACUUCCGACAAAACCCCGCCAUCACCUGGAUCCGUGCCCAAGCCACCAUAUCAGUGCUACAGAAACCAAAGAUCAAUGCUUCUGAUCAGAUCAUCUUGCCAUCGGAGCCCUCUGGUGGAUCAAUUAUCCUGCAAUGUAACCUCACCACUGCCCACAACGCACAUAAAGAAAGCUUCUGGAUGAAGAACGGACAGGAGAUUCCCAAAACACGAACAGAGAAGAAUAGCACAACAUACAGAAUUAAUAAACCAAGGGCAGAUGAUGCUGGGGAAUACAUGUGUGUAUUUACAUUUGACAUGGCGCCAAACGCCAACGCGACAAUUGAAGUCAAAGCAAACCCUGAAGUCAUUAGCCACAAGCGAAGUGAGAAUAAGAAAGAGGGAGAAAAUGCAAUGCUUUACUGCAAAUCUGUUGGCUAUCCACAUCCCACAUGGAUGUGGCGUAAACUAGAGGGACCAGCCUACACGGACAUUGACAACUCCUCAGGACGUUACUUCAUCACUAGCAAAGACAACUACACAGAGCUCAAUGUAUUAAACUUGGAUAUAAGCACAGAUCCUGGCGAAUACCAGUGCAAUGCCACCAACAUGAUUGGAACCACUGCUAAGACCACUAUACUUCGUGUGCGCAGCCAUCUUGCACCGCUUUGGCCUUUCCUCGGUGUGCUGGCUGAAAUCAUCAUCCUUGUAGUCAUCAUCGUUGUGUACGAGAAACGUAAGAGACCUGAUGAUAUUAUUGAUGGCUACAUAAUCUAAAUGGGUGAUGAUGAAUCAGCUGGACAAAUGAAAACAACUUCAACAAACAACCACAAGGACAAAAACAUUCGCCAGAGGAAUACAAAAUGAGAAAUUUACUCAUAUGAGAUGGCUAAACUGCACACUGCGACCACAUGAAGGUAUCAGAUCUGAAUAAAGUGCUGGGCGGGUUUCUUGAAAAAGCACAUCUUGUCUCAUUUUAUGAGAAACAAUAUCAGCAUAACACUGGCAACAAAAUGAACAUAAUGGCUGUUUUAAGCAUGCCUUAUUCAGUCUUACGUGGAUAUUUGAGGAUGACAGAUGAUGACUAAAACCACCACAGAGGUGUACACAUUUUAAAAUGUGCCGUUGAUGUCUCCUUUUUUAAUUUCAUCAUGUCCUCGAAUGAGGUGAUCCUUUUUGUAUUACAUAUCAUGUAUGAUGCAUGCAAGGUAACGCAAUAGGAUACUCAGAAUAGACAUUUUCUGUUGUUAUCCCUCAUGUUGCUUUUUUGCAUCUAAAGCUACUUUUUUUUAAUUAAGUCAUCAUAUAUCUUGAACAUUUGUACAGCAUAUCAUGGUCAUUUAAGUCUUUUAAAUAUGUUUGAUUUUGUGAUAAGUCCAUCUUUACAAGAACUUUUAUUGUGAAGCAAGGGCUUCAGUGACUGGCAGUAUUUCAUUGAGAGUGAUUACAGAAAAUGACUACUUUGUGUAAUUAUCUAAAAUGAUAUGUAUUAUUUUUAUUUUCUUUCUAGAGUAACAUAGGUGUCUUGUAUAUGUUGCAAUAUGAGUGUUCAAAUGAUAGGAAAUAUCUAUGAAGUUUUUUAUAUUUCCCAAUUUCCUUAACUGAUUUUUAGUUUUUAGUUUUUUUCCCCUCUUUCUCUCUAACCGUAUAGCAUGGCUACAAUCCUAUGCAAUAUGUAUUCUAUAUGUGGAGGGCAGUUUGCUUUACUCAGUGAAGCUUUAAUGUUGUGGGAUCACUUGGAAGCUGGCAUAGCGAAAUACACUGCUGUAGCUGCAUGUCUCAUCUUUUAAUACAAUGUAUUCAUGUGUGUGUUGCGGUGAAAAUGGACCUGCAUUAGGAUGGGAACAGAGGGACCAGAGUAUAUAGCCACGAUCAAACAUAUGAGACCAAUAUUUUUUUUUUAAAUAAAAAGCUCAGAAAGUAA